UACGUGAAACCGUUCAGGGGUAAACGGGAGAAAUCCUGAAUUCGAAAGGGAUUGGAUUCAAGUCCAUCCGGCUGCGCAGGCCACCUGGCCCCACCAGAUGGCGCUGGUCGCCCACGGUGAUUCAUUUUGCUUGUGGUGUCGUUCCUGGCGAUCACUCGGUGAGGUGGUGUUGCUCUGGCAUGCGGAGGAGUGCACUUCCCCCCUAGUAGAAACGUCGCGACCCGUUGGGUGCCGGUCUAAGGCCUGGGAAGGCAGCCCGUGUGUCCUGUGGGGGUUCUCACAGGUGCGCGGACUCUCGGUGUCCCGGCCGGCUGCCCGACGGUAUGACCAGAGGAGUCGAUCCGCUGAAUGGGAAACACUUUGGCUGUGUAGCGUCCGGCCCGGCGACGACGCGUGUGGGGAUUGAGGUGCAAACCUGGGGUGUCCGUGCUAAGCACGGCCCCGGCCCCACAUCGCUGUCGAAUCUGCUGGUGUCCUCGGACUGGAUCGUUACUCCCGUCUGCGACGCCCACCUUCGGAUGG
This 522-nucleotide ribosomal RNA is filed under the name Phasmotaenia sp. TRB-2009. Its description in RNAcentral is "eukaryotic LSU rRNA". Lineage: Eukaryota; Metazoa; Arthropoda; Insecta; Phasmatodea; Phasmatidae. The record is from RNAcentral.